RNAcentral lists this ribosomal RNA (289 nucleotides) under uncultured bacterium. RNAcentral describes it as "partial 16S ribosomal RNA". It matches the Rfam family "Bacterial small subunit ribosomal RNA", at positions 773 to 1060 of the family's 1533-position model. The record is from RNAcentral.
GUGGAUUAGAUACCCUGGUAGUCCACGCCCUAAACGAUGUCUACUAGUUGUCGGGUCUUAAUUGACUUGGUAACGCAGCUAACGCGUGAAGUAGACCGCCUGGGGAGUACGGUCGCAAGAUUAAAACUCAAAGGAAUUGACGGGGACCCGCACAAGCGGUGGAUGAUGUGGAUUAAUUCGAUGCAACGCGAAAAACCUUACCUACCCUUGACAUGGAAGGAAUCCCGAAGAGAUUUGGGAGUGCUCGAAAGAGAACCUUUACACAGGUGCUGCACGGCUGUCGUCAACU